RNAcentral lists this long non-coding RNA (1272 nucleotides) under Zosterops lateralis melanops. RNAcentral describes it as "lncRNA (ENSZLMG00000002942.1)". The record is from RNAcentral. Lineage: Eukaryota; Metazoa; Chordata; Aves; Passeriformes; Zosteropidae.
AGAGCUUUCCUGAAGGUACCAGUGAACCUGGGAUGGGGUGGGUGGGCGUAGAGACACCCACCAAGCUUGGCACAUUGUUGACACCCCUCAGGGCUGGCACCYUGUUGGGGAAUAGAUGUCUUCCCACCCUGUGUCCACCGCACUGACACACAUCCUCUCCCUGUCCCUGGCAGCGGUACCCGUACCUGAAUGCUCCCCUGCAGGUCGGCCUGGUGGGACUCUGUUUGGUGUUCGCCACCCCUUUGUGCUGCGCACUCUUCCCACAGAAAAGCUCAAUGCCUGUGAGGAGCCUGGAGCCUGAAGUCCAAGAUCAGAUCCGGAAGAAAGAUCCAUGGCUGGAAACAGUCUACUUCAACAAAGGGCUCUGAAUGGUUCCUGGGGUGGCCGAGAUGGGCCCCACGGGGCUGCCGGGCUAGCGCACUGCUGACCUUCACCCUUUGGAUCCCCUUGGGGCUGCUGCUGCUUUCCCUUGGCUGUUGCGUGUCCAUAGGUCCCAGGUGCUCAGCCCUGCUUCCCGGGGUGCCURCAGCCAUGCAGCACCACACCAAACCCGGUCCCCUUGCCCGGCUCAGCCCUGCUCUGGGGACCUCCUGGCUGGCACCCUGGUGCAGUCCUUUCUGAGUGUGCCUGUAGCUCUGUGCAGUGCACAGGGAAGUGCAGGCUGCAACACCAGGGACCUUGUGAGCUGUGGUGGAAGAAAAAAAAAGUGGGAUGAGGCAGAAAAGGUGCUCCCCAGCUUUAGGAGGCAGCAGAGAAUCAGCAAUUGAGGGUAGAAUACCUCUGCAGGCACCCUAUGGUGCCCAGUGGUUCAACAGCUGGUGUCUGGGGAUGGCAGAGCAGCUUUUGGAGAAGAAAACUCCCCAUAUCCAAAAUAGCUGGGGGUGAGUGAUCAAUUGCACGUAGUGGCUUGAACUCAGAKUGGAGGGCUCUCCCAGCCCAGGCGUGUGCUCCCAGCUCACCUUCUGCUCUCCUUCGGGCUGCUCUGGGGAUUUAAUCUGGCUUUCUGCUGCUUCCAUCCCCAGAGCAAAUGGCACAUUUUAAUCCCAGUAGAGUCUUGGUUUUUAUUCUCAUUUUAAUGCCAUCWGUGUUCAGGGCUGGGCUUCCCCCGAGGGGUUACUCUACCCCCUCCUGGAGUGCUUGCUUUCAGGUGGACCUUCUCAAAUAGCUUUAAGUGCACUGUGGUUUCCUUUAGAUAUUUUUGAUAUACAUAUAAUGUACCUAUAUAUACACCAAAUAAUAAAGGCAGAUUGUUUAUACAAAACCAACAGCAAA